This 84-nucleotide transfer RNA is filed under the name Puniceicoccales bacterium. RNAcentral's name for it is "tRNA-Leu". It matches the Rfam family "tRNA". Rfam says of the family: Transfer RNA (tRNA) molecules are approximately 80 nucleotides in length. Their secondary structure includes four short double-helical elements and three loops (D, anti-codon, and T loops). Lineage: Bacteria; Pseudomonadati; Verrucomicrobiota; Opitutia; Puniceicoccales. The record is from RNAcentral.
GCUCGGGUGGUGGAACGGCAGACACGCCAGACUUAGGAUCUGGUGCCGCAAGGCGUGAGGGUUCAAAUCCCUCUCCGAGCACCA